This 294-nucleotide long non-coding RNA is filed under the name Cyanistes caeruleus (blue tit). Its description in RNAcentral is "lncRNA (ENSCCEG00000014965.1)". Lineage: Eukaryota; Metazoa; Chordata; Aves; Passeriformes; Paridae. The record is from RNAcentral.
GGGGCUGAGGAAGAAAUAAGUAGCUUCCCAAGUCUCUCUGUCUUUUACUAUAAUUCUCUUGGAGAAUAUGGCUUUGCAUGUCAAAUUUUUGUUCUGAUAUGCUUACCUUCUAGUGGUAUGUGCUGGCACGUUGUCCUGUAUGCAAUAGAGGCUUGAAGGAGACAGUUCAUCCCAAUGCUCUCAGAGACUGCAGCCACUCUCUUCUUCGGAAGCCAAGGUCACACUAGGCACCAUCUGGUCUCUGAUAUGGUUUAAAAUAACAAUCUAGCCAGGAUACAACCAGCAGAAGGACUU